This 238-nucleotide long non-coding RNA is filed under the name Setaria viridis. RNAcentral's name for it is "long non-coding RNA (SVIR_LNC002708)". Lineage: Eukaryota; Viridiplantae; Streptophyta; Magnoliopsida; Poales; Poaceae. The record is from RNAcentral.
AAUAAUUGACUAUCAUAAAUCUAAUUAUCGUCGGAGCUUUGAGUCGUGUUUAACUAUUUAUCAAGUUAUAGAGGAGUGUUUGUAUUUUUUUCUCCCCGUUGCGACGCACGGGUAUAUUUUAGUAAAGGCAAAACAGCGGAAAAAAGUGAGCCAAGUUGAUUUAUACGGUAGACUUACACAACUACACCAGGAUUCUGCAACGGCCCACCUCGCGGUGGCAUCAAGAUAACUGGGCUGC